AAGAUGCUAAUACCGGAUAACAACAGAUGAUGCCUAUCAACUGUUUAAAAGAUGGUUCUGCUAUCACUCUUGGAUGGACCUGCGGUGCAUUAGCUAGUUGGUAGGGUAACGGCCUACCAAGGCGAUGAUGCAUAGCCAGUUGAGAGACUGAUCGGCCACAUUGGGACUGAGACACGGCCCAAACUCCUACGGGAGGCAGCAGUC
This 204-nucleotide ribosomal RNA is filed under the name uncultured Lactobacillus sp. RNAcentral describes it as "partial 16S ribosomal RNA". It matches the Rfam family "Bacterial small subunit ribosomal RNA", at positions 157 to 355 of the family's 1533-position model. The record is from RNAcentral. Lineage: Bacteria; Bacillati; Bacillota; Bacilli; Lactobacillales; Lactobacillaceae.